GGCGAUGCCGACCUGGUUCGAGAGCUGACCGCAGGUUUAAAGGGGCGCUGCCAAAGUCGGGUCUCCUGAGGGUCCGGCUCGCUGCACCCCCACGUUAGUCCUGUCACAGAGGCGGCUUACCCUGCAGACGGAAUCCGGCGUCAGGACCAUGCUGCCCUGAAUUCACAAGGACAAGCACCUGUCUUUCCUGGUGUCGGUUAUCUAUAAAAUGAGUUCAGUUGCUCAGUUGUGUCCGACUCUUUGUGACCCCAUGGACUGCCGCACACCAGGCCUCCCUGUCCAUCACCAACUGCCGGAGUCUACCCAAACCCAUGUCCAUUCAUUUGGUGAUGUCAUCGAACCAUCUCAUCCUCUGUCAUCCCCUUCUCCUCCUGCCCUCAAUCUUUCCCAGCAUCAGGGUCUUUUCAAAUGAGUCAGCUCUUCCCAUCAGGUGCCCAAAGUAUUGGAGUUUCAGCUUCAACAUCAGUCCUUCCAAUGAACACCCAAGACUGAUCUCCUUUAGGAUGGACUGAUUGGAUCUCCUUGCAGUCCAAGGGACUCUCCAGAGUCUUCUCCAACACCACAGUUCAAAAGCAUCAGUUCUUCGGUGCUCAGCUUUCUUUAGAGUCCAACUCUCACAUCCAUACAUGACUACUGGAAAAACCAUAGCUUCGACUAGAUGGACCUUUGUUGACAAAGUAAUGUCUCUGCUUUUGAAUAUGCUGUCUAGGUUGGUCAUAACUUUCCUUCCAAAGAGUAAGCGUCUUUUAAUUUCAUGGCUGCAAUCACCAUCUACAGUGAUUUUGGAGCCCCAAAACAUAAAGUCUGACACUGUUUCUACUGUUUCCCCAUCUAUUUGCCAUGAAGUGAUGGGACCGGAUGCCAUGAUCUUCGUUUUCUGAAUGCUGAGCUUUAAGCCAACUUUUUCACUCUCUUCUUUCACUUUCAUCAAGAGGCUCUUUAGUUCUUCUUCACUUUCUGCCAUAAGGGUGGUGUCAUCUGCAUAUCUGAGGUUAUUGAUAUUUCUCCCGGCAAUUUUGAUUCCAGCUUGUGCUUCUUCCAGCUCAGCGUUUCUCAUGAUAUACUCUGCAUAUAAGUUAAAUAAGCAGGGUGACAAUAUACAGCCUUGACAUACUCCUUUUCCUAUUUGGAACCAGUCUGUUGUUCCAUGUCUAGUUCUAACUAUUGCUUCCUGAGUCUAACUGUCUUGCUCAUACCAAUUUUUAGUAAUUUUCAGGCUUUCACAAAGUUUCAGUGACACCUUUAAGAAGCUUUUCGAAAAAUGCUACCCCUUUUCACACGCACAUUUCAUUGGUUUAGGUAACAGGUAAUUCUAAAUGAUAUAAUAUAGAUAAAUAUAUUUGCAUAUGUAGGUUAGCAAAUAGAACUGAUUUUAGUAAGCUUCCAACAGAAUUGGUAGAAUUAGCAGAGCUCUCACAUAGUUGAGAGCAGUCAGUGGUGGCAAGGGGAGAACAUGAGCAGAAAGCAGAGUGCUAGUACACUGAGUAGGGUAUUUGGAUGCUAGUUAAGAAAGCUUCCAUCACAGAGAAUAUUAGUAGGAAUUAGAGCAAGCUUUGUGCAAGUAUAUGCAAUUCAGAAUUUAUAAAGGAACAGAUUAAUACAUUUGUUUUAUAAAAGUUAUUAAAAAUAUCAUGUCCUCCCCAGACCCAAAUAAAGUCAAAGAACACCAUAAGAAAAAACAUUUUGCAACAUAUGACUGUCAAAUGACUAAUUUCCAACAUCUCAUAUAAACAAACAUUAAACAACCUAAUAUAAAAGUGAGCAAAGGAUAUCAAUAUAGAAUUUGGAGAACAAGAAAUAAAG
Bos taurus (domestic cattle) is the source of this 1803-nucleotide long non-coding RNA. The record is from Ensembl. NCBI's taxonomy places the organism in Eukaryota, Metazoa, Chordata, Mammalia, Artiodactyla, Bovidae.